AGCCCCCUCGUCUUCGUUCAUCUGUGUGAUCCUGCACGCUCUCUGCUUACCUCUCUCUCUCUCUGUUGAGCUCUGCGACCUGCACCUCUCUGCGCGGCGUUCCUCUCCGUUGCGGACGCCUAUGUGUGCGUGUGCACUCCUCCCUCCCCUCUCAGCAUGUCCCCCAUCCACAAAAAGCACAUGGAAGUGCUCGGACUGGGUGUGAAGGGCACGGCUGGUGACGCGAGCAACACCCACCGCCCCGCUGGCGCGCUAUCGUGGGAAGAGGAGCAGCUGCCGCGGGAGUCAUCCCUCACCGGCGGCGCCACGGCGGCGGCGGCGGCGGCAGCCGCUGCAGCGUCCGGGGACGUGCGUCAUGGCCCUCUCCCCGAAGAAGACGACCUGAGCAACGCCACCAUUGUCCUCGCAGCCGCUGCCGAAACACCAACGACGAGGACGCCGAUCUUUGGCAGCAGCCUUCGCAGGUUCUCCGACCCCCUGGCGUCUUUGCCGCUCCGCCACCUGCUCCUCAGGGGGUCCAGUUUUGCAUCCCCCCUAACGAUCACGUCGGUUUGCCUGGAGCCGUGCCGUACACCUGGCGCGGAGGAGACGGCGGCGGCAGCAGCGACUCGGAUGACAGCGCGCAGCACGGCACCCGCCACUCAGCACGACCCUGCCGGCUCUAUCGACAUGGCCUUCGCCUCCAGGGUCCGCGCCGCGCCGUUGUCGCCGGUGACGGUGCCGGCGCCCGCACACGAUGCGGGCAACGACUACGUCACUCUUAUCCGCUCGCUGCCGAGCCGCACCGCCUCCGUCGUCAUGCCCUCCCUGUGCGCCUUCCGCGAGCGGCUGUGCAAGAUGUCGUUCAAGCAGAUUCUGUGGAUUAUCCUCCUCGUCGCCCUCGUCAUGGUCGGCAACUUCAUGCAGAUCGUGAUGCUGAACUUCUGGCUCAUCUCCUUCCCCUCCGAUGGGACGCCUGGCAACUACACCGCCUUCGCCGUGCCGGGCAUCUUCUUCGCCGUUCUCUUUGUGCUCCUCCUCGGCGCCUACACCGCGAUCUGGCGGCCGUCGCUGCGCUUCGCCAGGCACGCGCACGGCUGGGUGAUCCUCAUCGGUGUCGGUUUCUGCGACGCCUUCAACAGCUGGCUGGCCACGUACGCCGCGUCGUACACCUCCGAGGUGCUGCAGGCGCUCUUUUCGAACCUCUGCCCCCUCUACGCCGUAUUCCUCUGCAAGUGGAUCCUGCACGACACGCGCCGCUACGCCAACGUCUACAUCGUCUCCGUCUUUGUGCUCACCAUAUGCGGCAUCCUCGCCGCCUCGCUCUACGGCCUCAUCAAGGACCACAACAUGGGCGAGGGCAAGUGGUGGAUCCUCAUCUUCUUCCUCUCCAUGCCGUUUCGCGUGCUCAUGAACGUGUGGCAGUCCCUGUACAUGAUCGUCUACACCCACGACCCGAACUUCGUCCUGUGGCUGCGCAUGCGGCUGGCGACCGCGGAGGAGGCCGCCGAACCGGUUUCCGCCGCGGUGAGGGGCAGCAACGAGGUCACGCCCGACACCUCCGACACAUUUUUCCGGGGUGGCGCCGACGUGGUCGCUGGCCCCGCCUCGCCUCUGGACGUCGACUGUGCAAAGGCGGCGUCAUCGAUCGCGCGCUACGACGGCCGCGCGUUGAUGGGUGGACUCGAGGACGAGGAGGACGGCAAGGAAGAGCUGCGCGGCGCAAGACCUGCCAGGCACGCCAAGACGAAGAUAGCAAACUCGGUGAAGCCCAACUCCGUAGAUGUCAACGACGAUGAUGCUGUGGGGGACAGCACGGAGGCGCAUGAGCCGGUGACAAGCGACAGCUCCGAUGGCGCUGCUGGUGGUGUUGUUGCCACCGCCCCUGCAGCAUCGCCAGGCGAGCCCGCUACGAGUCUCGUGAACGUGCAUGGUGCGGUGUAUAGCCUGAGUGGUGUUGAGGACGGUGAAUACUUGCGUCCGACCGCGACUGGCGCGCCGCCGCUGCCGACGCAGACCAUGUUCACGGUGCGCUACAACCAAGGUGAGGACACCAUCGUCAAGCUCGUCAUGCUGGCGGGUGAGACGGUGAUACAGCUGUGCUUCACGUUGUGCCUGCUCCCGGCGGACGCGCUGCCGUGGUGGGGCAACAGCGAAACGGUCAGCGCGACGUUGGACAACUUCGCCGAGGGCAUCCGCUGUGUCUUUACAAUCCGAGACAACUUCCUCUACUGCUUCCUGUACACGCUCGGCUUCGUCUUCACGUACGUCGGGUGCGCCUACCUGAACCACUAUAGCGCCGCCCUGUGCUCCAUCGUUACCCAGCUCUCCUCGCCCGUCACAGCGCUCAUGCUCGUCAUUGUGCCGAGCUGGAACGUGCAGGUGGACGGCGACUCCCCCUGGUACUACAACAUGAUCGCCAUCUUCUUCCUGUGUGUCGCAGCUCUCAUCUACGUCAUGUGGGAAGAGAUGACGGAUGACGAGAAGGUGCAAGCGGAGUACGAGCUGAAGAUGAAGGAGCUGCGCGUGCGUCCGUCGUCGCACGAGGCGCCACAUCACGUUACGAUACAGGGGUGAGAUGGCGCGCAGACCUGUACGGGUGCGUGAGUGGUGAGGGGUAAAGUGAUUCUCGGCGCGCCCACGAGUAUGUAUGUGCCGGUGUGUUCAGAGAAGUUCUCUCUCUCUAUAUAUAUAUAUGUGUGAGCCAAGCGAUCCAGUGGAAGGGUGCGUGUGCGUCGACGGAGGGCAGGAGAGGUGUUGAUACCCCCUGCUGGUGUUCGAGAGUGUGGGUGUCGUUAUGUACGAAGCAUGUGUCCGGUGACUGUGUGUGUGUUUUUUUUUGGGGGGGGUGAGCGAGCGUAGGCGCGCAUCGCCCCCUUCUCUUUUCGUUGCUUGUCCCAUCCACCGGAGCGCUCUCCUCCUCCUCCUCCUCCUCCCUCCCUCCCUCCCUCCCUCUCCCUCGCCCUUAAGGAGAGCGAUGCCGUCCCCAGACACACGCACGCAACAUGCCGCCAUACCCAUCCGACGAACAAACCUAAUAAGAAGGUGUAGCAGGGGGAGGGGGGAGGGCUGAGCAGUAGCACCCGAUGGAGCGUCUUCUGGCGACGGCGAGGCGAGCAAAACGUCGGAAGGUGGCCAGUGGGGGUGGAGGUGGAGGGGUCACGGAGCACACCGCUCGCCACGUCGUGAAGGGUGCUUGCACGCUCGCCUCUGUGUGGCCUCUUACAGACGCGUCCUCUCCACCUCCUCUUA
This 3231-nucleotide unclassified non-coding RNA is filed under the name Leishmania donovani. RNAcentral's name for it is "gene:LdHU3.03.0680(CDS-product:hypothetical_prote in_conserved)". Lineage: Eukaryota; Euglenozoa; Kinetoplastea; Trypanosomatida; Trypanosomatidae. The record is from RNAcentral.